CACGUAGGGGCCAAGCGUUGUCCGGAUUUAUUGGGCGUAAAGAGCUCGUAGGCGGUUCAGCAAGUCGGGUGGGAAAACUCUGGGCUCAACCCAGAGACGCCACCCGAUACUGCUGUGACUAGAGUCCGGUAGGGGAGUGGGGAAUUCCUGGUGUAGCGGUGAAAUGCACAGAUAUCAGGAGGAACACCGGUGGCGAAGGCGCCACUCUGGGCCGGCACUGACGCUGAGGAGCGAAAGCGUGGGUAGCAAACAGG
RNAcentral lists this ribosomal RNA (254 nucleotides) under uncultured bacterium. RNAcentral describes it as "partial 16S ribosomal RNA". It matches the Rfam family "Bacterial small subunit ribosomal RNA", at positions 524 to 776 of the family's 1533-position model. The record is from RNAcentral.